This 970-nucleotide long non-coding RNA is filed under the name Lathyrus oleraceus (garden pea). RNAcentral describes it as "Pisum sativum (pea) long non-coding RNA (PSAT_LNC034781)". Lineage: Eukaryota; Viridiplantae; Streptophyta; Magnoliopsida; Fabales; Fabaceae. The record is from RNAcentral.
AUCAAUUAGAUAUCUGGCUAAGAAAAAGAAAAAGUACGAUUAAAUACAAAGAAAUGGACCAGAUUUUUGAAUAAUGUAUCUCAGAUCAAUUUUGACUAUUCCCACCUAUGAACUCCCCUAGAUUCCACUUUUUGGUCUUUCAACCAACUAAUUUAACCAUUUGAAUAUUGUUUCAAUUGAAAUAUUAACAUUCGUUAUUGCAGCGCACAAAAAAUAGAAACAAACUUGAAACAUUCAUUUUCAGACUUCCUUUUGAUACCUAGAAUAUACAUCUAUUCAUUCUUCAUCUAGAAAGAGCAUAUCUCCGUACACCUACAUAAAUUAUGUAGGAUGAUUAAGACCACUAAUAAAUAUCUAUCUAAUCCCCCAAUUUUUGAAAAGAAAUAUGGGAAUAGAUACUCAUACAUAAUGAGUCGCCGGGAACCAGAUUUGAACUGGUGACACGAGGAUUUUCAGUCCUCUGCUCUACCAGCUGAGCUAUCCCGACCAAUAUUCAAGAAAUAUCUGUAUGGACAUUUUCUUUUUCUUAUAGAUUAGACAGAAUAAUAGAGGUUUCAUUCCUAUCUUAAUUCUGGAUUAUGAUAAAUAAGAAAAUUGAUAAAUAAAAAAGACAAUAAAAUAGGGAUUCAUUGAGAUUCAAAAAUGGGAUGGAGCAAUCCUUAUUUCGGACGUAGGAUGAACUGAAAAAGUUCUGCAUCAUUAACUAUGUAAGAUGCACAUCAGCAUCAAUUAGAUAUCUGGCUAAGCAAAAGAAAAAGUACGAUUAAAUACAAAGAAAUGGACCAGAUUUUUGAAUAAUGUAUCUCAGAUCAAUUUUGACUAUUCUCACCUAUGAACUCCCCUAGAUUCCUCUUUUUGGUCUUUCAACCAACUAAUUUAACCAUUUGAAUAUUGUUUCAAUUGAAAUAUUAACAUUCGUUAUUGCAGCGCACAAAAAAUAGAAACAAACUUGAAUCAUUCAUUUUCAGAC